Molecule: ribosomal RNA, 397 nt
Filed under: uncultured bacterium
Lineage: Bacteria
Description: partial 16S ribosomal RNA
Rfam family: Bacterial small subunit ribosomal RNA
Source: RNAcentral
AUACGUAGGUGGCGAGCGUUGUCCGGAAUUACUGGGCGUAAAGGAUGCGUAGGUGGAUACUUAAGUGGGAUGUGAAAUCCCCGGGCUCAACCCGGGAACUGCAUUCCAAACUGGGUAUCUAGAGUGCAGGAGAGGAAAGCGGAAUUCCUAGUGUAGCGGUGAAAUGCGUAGAUAUUAGGAGGAACACCAGUGGCGAAGGCGGUUUUCUGGACUGUAACUGACACUGAGGCAUGAAAGCGUGGGUAGCAAACAGGAUUAGAUACCCUGGUAGUCCACGCCGUAAACGAUGGGUACUAGGUGUAGGAGGUAUCGACCCCUUCUGUGCCGUAGUUAACACAAUAAGUACCCCGCCUGGGGAGUACGGUCGCAAGACUAAAACUCAAAGGAAUUGACGGGG